This 467-nucleotide ribosomal RNA is filed under the name uncultured bacterium. RNAcentral's name for it is "partial 16S ribosomal RNA". It matches the Rfam family "Bacterial small subunit ribosomal RNA", at positions 28 to 507 of the family's 1533-position model. The record is from RNAcentral.
GAUGAACGCUGGCGGCGUGCUUAACACAUGCAAGUCGAACGGAAAGGCCCAAGCUUGCUUGGGUACUCGAGUGGCGAACGGGUGAGUAACACGUGGGUGAUCUGCCCUGCACUUCGGGAUAAGCCUGGGAAACUGGGUCUAAUACUGGAUAGGACCACUUCUUGGAUGGUGUGGUGGAAAGUUUUUUCGGUGUGGGAUGAGCUCGCGGCCUAUCAGCUUGUUGGUGGGGUAAUGGCCUACCAAGGCGUCGACGGGUAGCCGGCCUGAGAGGGUGUACGGCCACAUUGGGACUGAGAUACGGCCAGACUCCUACGGGAGGCAGCAGUGGGGAAUAUUGCACAAUGGGCGCAAGCCUGAUGCAGCGACGCCGCGUGGGGGAUGACGGCCUUCGGGUUGUAAACUCCUUUCGCUAGGGACGAAGCGUUUUUGUGACGGUACCUGGAGAAGAAGCACCGGCUAACUACGUG